Cyprinus carpio carpio is the source of this 553-nucleotide long non-coding RNA. Lineage: Eukaryota; Metazoa; Chordata; Actinopteri; Cypriniformes; Cyprinidae. The record is from Ensembl.
CUCUGGUUUGCAUAUCAGAUGAAUCAUCUUUCCGAGGUGUUGGGUCACAGUUAAAUUGAACAUCUUGGAACCAAUUUAUUCCAUUAGGAGCUCCGAGUCCAGGACCGGAAUACAGACAGCCAAUUUCAGCAUGAAGCAUGAAGGCUGCGACAAAAGAUGAUAGAUUUAGCCAGACAAUAGCAUUUGCCUUUCCCAAAUCCCACUGAGAGAAAAUCCCACGGAGCAUUCUGCGAUCGGUUUCCAGAUCAGAGCAAACCCGGUGCCUGCGACAUUGAUGCAGUGAUAACUACUGACAGCAAACCUCACUAUUCACCUCGAAGACCCUGUUUCCACAAAAACCCACCGCAGAGAAGGUCACAAAGCCAACGUCCAUGAAAGAGCUGCAACUGCUUUAAUCACAGACACCAGUGCUAAAAUGUGAAAAAAGGUGUCACAAUCAUAAAACUUUAACCUCUGCACUUCAUCUGAAAUUCAACAUCUGCCCUGAUAAACACCAAAAGUUGUACAAAUCUAUUCUAAGAAGGUUGGAAGCUGUAUUUAAAUCGAACUGUGG